CUCGGGUGGGGGCGGGAAGCCCGUCCGCUGUCAGGCUCCCAGGUGCUGACCCUCUUGGAGCCGCGGAGGAGGAAGGAAGGUCCAACCAGUUGCUGGAACCAAGUUCCAAGAAGGCAGCUUCCUGAAAUAGGACUGGAGGAAAAACUCACAGAUAUACCGCGUGCAUUGCUGUAGCCCCAAAGUUGGACAAGGACUUGAGAAGAGCUUGGCGAGUGGCCUCCCUGAGGACCCAGGGACCACUGUUCCUCAUCUCGUAACCCUCUGCCUACAUACCUUCUGCUCCAACGACACAGGACCAUCUGCUGUUCCCCCAAACAAGCCAGUAUAGCCUGUAUGUGUAGCCUGUCAUCACUAUAUAUUAAGGGAGAGAAGCAUUAGCUAAAUUGCCACUAAUGAAAAACUUCAUCGGACUGAAAUUGAGUACCAGAGCUUCAUCUGUACAAAACCACAGCAUCCUACAACUAUUUUGGAGAGGAAUUCAUAAAUUCUUAGAGAGGGAAGUCAAGAACCAAGAAUCUCAUAGCAAAGCAGCUACUUAACAUAAACAAAGUUAUUCCUACUGAGGAUUCUGAGGACUCAUCAAAGGAGAGGUGAUUACAGAGCCACAGCAAUGGAAAUCUGCUGAAAACAGCUGGUGUGACAGUGCUGAAUGGGUGUGUUUUAUACAUAUGGGAAGAUGCCGCUCCCUGAUUUUAAUAUGCAACUUCAAAAAGAUGCAGGUGUCUCUAAAAGCUAAAAAGAAUAACAAUUAAAAUAAUAACUAACUUUUAUUAAGUCCUAUAUAUUAAUAAAGGUUCCAAAGCACUUUA
Molecule: long non-coding RNA, 809 nt
Filed under: Equus asinus (donkey)
Lineage: Eukaryota; Metazoa; Chordata; Mammalia; Perissodactyla; Equidae
Description: lncRNA (ENSEASG00005031615.1)
Source: RNAcentral